UGGGGAAUUUUGGACAAUGGGGGAAACCCUGAUCCAGCCAUCCCGCGUGUGCGAUGAAGGCCUUCGGGUUGUAAAGCACUUUUGGCAGGAAAGAAACGUCAUGGGUUAAUACCCCGUGAAACUGACGGUACCUGCAGAAUAAGCACAGGCUAACUACGUGCCAGCAGCCGCGGUAAUACGUAGGGUGCAAGCGUUAAUCGGAAUUACUGGGCGUAAAGCGUGCGCAGGCGGUUCGGAAAGAAAGAUGUGAAAUCCCAGAGCUCAACUUUGGAACUGCAUUUUUAACUACCGGGCUAGAGUGUGUCAGAGGGAGGUGGAAUUCCGCGUGUAGCAGUGAAAGGCGUAGAUAUGCGGAGGAACACCGAUGGCGAAGGCAGCCUCCUGGGAUAACACUGACGCUCAGGCACGAAAGCGUGGGGAGCAAACAGG
RNAcentral lists this ribosomal RNA (429 nucleotides) under Acidobacteriota bacterium. RNAcentral's name for it is "Acidobacteria bacterium partial 16S ribosomal RNA". It matches the Rfam family "Bacterial small subunit ribosomal RNA", at positions 355 to 776 of the family's 1533-position model. The record is from RNAcentral. Lineage: Bacteria; Pseudomonadati; Acidobacteriota.